UAUGUAGGGUGCAAGCGUUGUCCGGAAUUAUUGGGCGUAAAGAGCUCGUAGGCGGUCUGUUGCGUCGGCUGUGAAAACCCGGGGCUCAACCCCGGGCCUGCAGCCGAUACGGGCAGACUAGAGUUCGGCAGGGGAGACUGGAAUUCCUGGUGUAGCGGUGAAAUGCGCAGAUAUCAGGAGGAACACCGGUGGCGAAGGCGGGUCUCUGGGCCGAUACUGACGCUGAGGAGCGAAAGCGUGGGGGAGCGAACAGG
Molecule: ribosomal RNA, 254 nt
Filed under: uncultured bacterium
Lineage: Bacteria
Description: partial 16S ribosomal RNA
Rfam family: Bacterial small subunit ribosomal RNA
Source: RNAcentral